Corapipo altera (White-ruffed manakin) is the source of this 1572-nucleotide long non-coding RNA. RefSeq lists it as uncharacterized. NCBI's taxonomy places the organism in Eukaryota, Metazoa, Chordata, Aves, Passeriformes, Pipridae. The transcript has 3 exons. The record is from RefSeq and is a predicted model, not a curated record.
CCCGUUACCUGUGAGGGGUGGGUCGUGUGACUCGGCCUGUUCCAGCAGGAGCCCGCUGGACGCGGCGGGCACAGCAGGAAUGCUGCUUGUUUGGGAAGGCUGUGCAGGGCUGGCUGCUCUGCCUCCCCCCCUGGCAGCGGCUCAGCCCGUCCCUGUUGCUGUUACAGCACAGCUGCUCCCCAAACCUCUUCGUGCAGAACGUCUUCGUGGACACCCACGACCUUCGCUUCCCCUGGGUCGCCUUCUUCGCCAGCAAGAGGAUCCGGGCGGGCACGGAGCUGACCUGGGAUUACAACUACGAGGUGGGGAGUGUGGAGGGCAAAGAGCUGCUGUGCUGCUGUGGGGCCAUCGACUGCCGGGGCCGCCUGCUCUGAGCCCCCCCUGCUCCCCACGGUCCUGGUGCUUCCCUCGGGGAGGGAAAAGGUUCUCCAGAGCUUCUGUGUUCUCCUGGUCCCUUGGAAAGUCACGGAUGGACGCGGGGCAGGAAGGGAAUCUGGGGGAUUCCCGACCCCUGGGCUUCUCCCACCUUCCAGAGGCUCCAGUUACCACCACAACCUCCCUCAGGAAAGGGAGUUUUUCCUGUUCCCUUCCAGCUCUCUGCCAAACUUGAGGCACAAACCCCCUUCUUUUCCAGCAGGAAGCACUUCCCCAAGACUCCCAACUUCAUGGUUGGGAUUGAGGCCUUGGGAAGUGGGAGGGAAAGAGGACGGUGAAAUCCCAGAAAGGUGGGACCAACCUGGAUUUCUGUGACGUGAAUCAUCUGUGAGAUGAUGUUGUAAAGAAUCUUUUGUACUUUUGGUUGUUAAAAAAAAAAAGCAAUAAACUUAAUGGUUUUUUUCUACUACAAAUCAUCUGCAGUGGCCUCAAGACACAGCAAAGAUCCCUGGAAGAGCAGCACUGAACCACUUCCCACCAUCCCUGUUUCCGUGGGGUUUGCAGGAAAAAUGCCAAAGGCCCCAGGAACAGGGAUAAGGAGCUCCCACAUUCUCACCUUUCCCUCACCUUUUCCUCAAAACAAACACUCCUUAAACCCUUCACUUGGAAAAAUUAAACAGAAACUGGCUGGAAUUUUCUCGAGGAGGCAGAUCCAAGGCUGCUUCCCAUCUCCAGUCUUCCCAGAACGUCCCUGUAGGCUGGAAACACUGAGCUGAGCUUAAAGUCCUGCACUGAAGAGGCCACUGGGACAGCCUUAAACUCGAUUUAGGCACCUGGGGAGGGUGGGUGGGGCAGCCCAGCCCAGUCUGGCUGCUGGACACAAAUCCACACGGAAAAUCACUGGCUUUGGCAACAACACACAAUUCCAAGAAUUUGGGUUUGGGUUUUUUUUUGGUGGGGGGGGGGGUAGGACACCAGGGCAGCUCCAAAAGGUUCGAUAAACCACCUUGAAAACUGGUUAAAAGAGGCAAAUUUUAGCAAACUGGGAUCAAACCUCCCCAUUAUUGACACAGAAACCCCCAAUCCUGGAGCAGAUUCCAUCCUGCCCCCACCCCACCAGCAGCCUCAGCUCACACAGCUCUGCACAAGGGAGGUUUGUUGUUUUCCUGCAAAAUAACCCUUUUUUUUUUUUCUUUU